Molecule: ribosomal RNA, 737 nt
Filed under: Leptogium phyllocarpum
Lineage: Eukaryota; Fungi; Ascomycota; Lecanoromycetes; Peltigerales; Collemataceae
Description: LSU rRNA
Rfam family: Eukaryotic large subunit ribosomal RNA
Source: RNAcentral
AUAUCGGCCGGAGACCGAUAGCGCACAAGUAGAGUGAUCGAAAGAUGAAAAGCACCUUGAAAAGGGGGUCAAACAGCACGUGAAAUUGCUGAAAGGGAAGCGCUGGCCCCCAGACCGGCCCCCGGGCAGCCCUCCGCCGCGCGCGGGGGAUCCCUGCCCGGGCUCCGGCCAGCACGGGUCCGGGCGGCGGGACAAAGCGUCCGGGAAUGUAGCUCCCUCCGGGGAGCCUUAUAGCCCGGACGGCCAUGCCGCCCGCCUGGACCGAGGACCGCGCUUCGGCGAGGGUGCUGGCGUAAUGGGGGUCAGCGGCCCGUCUUGAAACACGGACCAAGGAGUCUAACGUCCCCGCGAGUGUUUGGGCGUCAAACCCCGGCGCGGAAUGAAAGUGAACGGAGGUGNGAGCCCUCCGGUGGGCGCACCAUCGACCGAUCCAGAUGUCUUCGGAUGGAUUUGAGUACGAGCGCGGCCGUUGGGACCCGAAAGAUGGUGAACUAUGCCUGGNUAGGGUGAAGCCAGAGGAAACUCUGGUGGAGGCUCGCAGCGGUUCUGACGUGCAAAUCGAUCGUCAAACCUGGGCAUAGGGGCGAAAGACUAAUCGAACCAUCUAGUAGCUGGUUCCUGUCGAAGUUUCCCUCAGGAUAGCAGUCGCGCGGNCGGUUUUAUGAGGUAAAGCGAAUGAUUAGAGGCCUGGGGNUGCAACACCCUUAACCUAUUCUCAAACUUUAAAUAUGUAAGAA